UUUUACCUCCCCUUCAGGAGACAGACAACUCUACUCUUAUGAGACCUCUCUUGCCACUUGCUUCCUUAUUUAUUCUUUCUUGGAUGCUACUUUCACUGCAGGAAAAAGUUUUGCAGAGGUGAAAUUCACUUUUGACACCAGAAGAUGUGCUGGUGAAUCCAUGGUAUAA
This 169-nucleotide long non-coding RNA is filed under the name Zonotrichia albicollis (white-throated sparrow). RNAcentral describes it as "lncRNA (ENSZALG00000005992.1)". The record is from RNAcentral. Lineage: Eukaryota; Metazoa; Chordata; Aves; Passeriformes; Passerellidae.